GUGAGGAAUAUUGGUCAAUGGGCGGGAGCCUGAACCAGCCAAGUCGCGUGAAGGAAGAAGGAUCUAUGGUUCGUAAACUUCUUUUGCAGGGGAAUAAAGUGCAGGACGUGUCCUGUUUUGUAUGUACCCUGAGAAUAAGGAUCGGCUAACUCCGUGCCAGCAGCCGCGGUAAUACGGAGGAUCCGAGCGUUAUCCGGAUUUAUUGGGUUUAAAGGGUGCGUAGGUGGUUUGAUAAGUCAGCGGUGAAAGUUUGCAGCUUAACUGUAAAAAUGCCGUUGAAACUGUCGGACUUGAGUGUAAAUGAGGUAGGCGGAAUGCGUAGUGUAGCGGUGAAAUGCAUAGAUAUCACGCAGAACUCCGAUUGCGAAGGCAGCUUACUAAGCUACAACUGACACUGAAGCACGAAAGCGUGGGGAUCAAACAGGAUUAGAAACCCCGGUAGUCC
Molecule: ribosomal RNA, 445 nt
Filed under: uncultured bacterium
Lineage: Bacteria
Description: partial 16S ribosomal RNA
Rfam family: Bacterial small subunit ribosomal RNA
Source: RNAcentral